RNAcentral lists this ribosomal RNA (253 nucleotides) under uncultured bacterium. Its description in RNAcentral is "partial 16S ribosomal RNA". It matches the Rfam family "Bacterial small subunit ribosomal RNA", at positions 524 to 776 of the family's 1533-position model. The record is from RNAcentral.
UACGGGGGGAGCAAGCGUUGUUCGGAUUUAUUGGGCGUAAAGAGCGUGUAGGCGGCCGUACAGGUCAGCUGUGAAAACUCGAGGCUCAACCUCGAGACGUCGGUUGAAACCGUACGGCUAGAGUCCGGAAGAGGAGAGUGGAAUUCCCGGUGUAGCGGUGAAAUGCGCAGAUAUCGGGAAGAACAUCGGUGGCGAAAGCGCUCUGCUGGACUGCAACUGACACUCAGGGACGAAAGCUAGGGGAGCGAAUGGG